RNAcentral lists this ribosomal RNA (824 nucleotides) under uncultured bacterium. RNAcentral's name for it is "bacterial SSU rRNA". It matches the Rfam family "Bacterial small subunit ribosomal RNA", at positions 8 to 816 of the family's 1533-position model. The record is from RNAcentral.
AGAGUUUGAUCCUGGCUCAGGAUGAACGCUGGCGGCAUGCCUAAUACAUGCAAGUCGAACGAGAGGAAGGAAAGCUUGCUUUUCUGAAUCUAGUGGCGAACGGGUGAGUAACACGUAGGUAACCUGCCCAUGUGCCCGGGAUAACUUCUGGAAACGGAUGCUAAAACCGGAUAGGUAGCAGACAAGCAUUUGACUGCUAUUAAAGUGGCUAAGGCCAUGAACAUGGAUGGACCUGCGGUGCAUUAGCUAGUUGGUGAGGUAACGGCCCACCAAGGCGACGAUGCAUAGCCGGCCUGAGAGGGCGGACGGCCACAUUGGGACUGAGACACGGCCCAAACUCCUACGGGAGGCAGCAGUAGGGAAUUUUCGUCAAUGGGGGGAACCCUGAACGAGCAAUGCCGCGUGAGUGAGGAAGGUCUUCGGAUCGUAAAGCUCUGUUGUAAGAGAAAAACGAUAUUCAUAGGGAAUGAUGAGUGAGUGAUGGUAUCUUACCAGAAAGUCACGGCUAACUACGUGCCAGCAGCCGCGGUAAUACGUAGGUGGCGAGCGUUAUCCGGAAUGAUUGGGCGUAAAGGGUGCGUAGGUGGCAGAACAAGUCUGGAGUAAAAGGUAUGGGCUCAACCCGUACUGGCUCUGGAAACUGUUCAGCUAGAGAACAGAAGAGGACGGCGGAACUCCAUGUGUAGCGGUAAAAUGCGUAGAUAUAUGGAAGAACACCGGUGGCGAAGGCGGCCGUCUGGUCUGUUGCUGACACUGAAGCACGAAAGCGUGGGGAGCAAAUAGGAUUAGAUACCCUAGUAGUCCACGCCGUAAACGAUGAGAAC